GACGGAGCAACGCCGCGUGAGUGACGAAGGCCUUCGGGUCGUAAAGCUCUGUUGUUAGGGAAGAACAAGUACCGUUCGAAUAGGGCGGUACCUUGACGGUACCUAACCAGAAAGCCACGGCUAACUACGUGCCAGCAGCCGCGGUAAUACGUAGGUGGCAAGCGUUGUCCGGAAUUAUUGGGCGUAAAGCGCGCGCAGGCGGUCUCUUAAGUCUGAUGUGAAAGCCCACGGCUCAACCGUGGAGGGCCAUUGGAAACUGGGGGACUUGAGUGCAGAAGAGGAGAGUGGAAUUCCACGUGUAGCGGUGAAAUGCGUAGAUAUGUGGAGGAACACCAGUGGCGAAGGCGGCUCUCUGGUCUGUAACUGACGCUGAGGCGCGAAAGCGUGGGGAGCAAACAGGAUUAGAUACCCUGGUAGUCCACGCCGUAAACGAUGAGUGCUAGGUGUUGGGGGGUUCCACCCUCAGUGCUGAAGUUAACACAUUAAGCACUCCGCCUGGGGAGUACGACCGCAAGGUUGAAACUCAAAGGAAUUGACGGGGGCCCGCACAAGCAGUGGAGCAUGUGGUUUAAUUCGAAGCAACGCGAAGAACCUUACCAGGUCUUGACAUCCUCUGCCACUCCUAGAGAUAGGACGUUCC
Molecule: ribosomal RNA, 640 nt
Filed under: Bacillus sp. MN64
Lineage: Bacteria; Bacillati; Bacillota; Bacilli; Caryophanales; Bacillaceae
Description: bacterial SSU rRNA
Rfam family: Bacterial small subunit ribosomal RNA
Source: RNAcentral